RNAcentral lists this transfer RNA (81 nucleotides) under Acidobacteriota bacterium. RNAcentral's name for it is "Acidobacteria bacterium tRNA-OTHER". The record is from RNAcentral. Lineage: Bacteria; Pseudomonadati; Acidobacteriota.
GGCCAGGUAAGAUGACUUCGAACGGCCUUAAAAUCCGUUGACCGUAAGGUCGUGUGGGUUCGACUCCCACCCUCGGCACCA